UACGUAGGGACCAAGCGUUGUUCGGAUUUACUGGGCGUAAAGGGCGCGUAGGCGGCAAUUCAAGUCAUCUGUGAAAUCUCCGGGCUUAACCGGGAGGGUGCGGUGAAUACUGAGGGACUAGAGUACGGGAGAGGAAAGUGGAAUUCCUGGUGUAGCGGUGAAAUGCGUAGAUAUCUGGAGGAACACCGGUGGCGAAGGCGGCAUCCUGGACCGGCAUUGACGCUGAGGCGCGAAAGCCAGGGGAGCAAACGGG
This 253-nucleotide ribosomal RNA is filed under the name uncultured bacterium. RNAcentral's name for it is "partial 16S ribosomal RNA". It matches the Rfam family "Bacterial small subunit ribosomal RNA", at positions 524 to 776 of the family's 1533-position model. The record is from RNAcentral.